This 598-nucleotide ribosomal RNA is filed under the name uncultured fungus. RNAcentral describes it as "eukaryotic LSU rRNA". The stretch from base 234 to 387 matches the Rfam family "5.8S ribosomal RNA". The record is from RNAcentral. Lineage: Eukaryota; Fungi.
CUUGGUCAUUUAGAGGAAGUAAAAGUCGUAACAAGGUCUCCGUAGGUGAACCUGCGGAGGGAUCAUUACACAAAUAUGAAGGCGGGCUGGAACCUCUCGGGGUUACAGCCUUGCUGAAUUAUUCACCCUUGUCUUUUGCGUACUUCUUGUUUCCUUGGUGGGUUCGCCCACCACUAGGACAAACAUAAACCUUUUGUAAUUGCAAUCAGCGUCAGUAACAAAUUAAUAAUUACAACUUUCAACAACGGAUCUCUUGGUUCUGGCAUCGAUGAAGAACGCAGCGAAAUGCGAUAAGUAGUGUGAAUUGCAGAAUUCAGUGAAUCAUCGAAUCUUUGAACGCACAUUGCGCCCUUUGGUAUUCCAAAGGGCAUGCCUGUUCGAGCGUCAUUUGUACCCUCAAGCUUUGCUUGGUGUUGGGCGUCUUGUCUCUAGCUUUGCUGGAGACUCGCCUUAAAGUAAUUGGCAGCCGGCCUACUGGUUUCGGAGCGCAGCACAAGUCGCACUCUCUAUCAGCAAAGGUCUAGCAUCCAUUAAGCCUUUUUUUCAACUUUUGACCUCGGAUCAGGUAGGGAUACCCGCUGAACUUAAGCAUAUCAAU